GAACCCGUUUGGAUAUUAUUGCGCUUGGUUGUCGCUUCGAGGCGAUAUUUGCAAUUUGUUUUUUUUGUGAAAUAGUUGGCGUUGAAUGAGUAAUGUUUUCAAAAUUGUUUUUAUAUGUCAUAUGUUUUAAUUAAAAAAAAAAAAACCAAAAAGUCUAGAGCAUUGCAGGACGGUCUUUUCGGGACAAAAACAAUUGUAAAACGCGAGUGCAGUGAAGUGUUAUGGUGUUUUUGGCAGAGCAAGUACCAAAGGAAAAGGUUCAAAUUGAAAAAAAUACCCAUAAAUUUAAAAGCAAAAAUUAUAAAUCACGCAAUUUAUUCAGAAGGAGCAACAUAUUAAUCGAGAAAUAUUAAUAGAAUAUAAAAGUUUUUAAGUGGCACAGGAGAACAGGCAAUUUUGUUUUCAACCUCAGUACAAAACGGCGAGAGUAGAUAAUUGGAUUAAGCGGUAUAAUAGGGAGCUGAACAAUGUGGAGCCCAACGCACAUACAAGUCACUGUUCAACGUGCAAAAGGCCUGCUGACGAAAGGUAAAAAUGGUACCAACAAUUGUUUCGUCACAAUUUCACUGGGCAAAGAGAAAUACCAGACAUCAGUCAAGGACAAAGCGGAAGCGAAUGUUAGUUGGAAUGAGGAAUGUGAACUCAAAAUUCCCGAUCAAGGCAAUCGUGCCGAACUGGCUUUGACUUGUCUGCAUCGCAAUAAUCUCGGCAUCGAUGAGUUUCUCGGUCAGGCUACAUUGCCACUCAAUGAAAUGGACGUAUACGAUCGUCCACGCUCUAAAUGGUUCAAGCUGGAGAGUAAACCCGGGAAAGAGAAAAAGAAUAAAGAGCGUGGUGAAUUGGAGGUGCGGAUUUCCUUUGUUGUCAAAUCUGGCUCACUGACUGAUCUGAGCAAGAAAGAAAAGCACAAGUCUUCCAUCGGCCAGUUGGCUUCUUCCGUGGGUGGCAGUCUUCUCUCAAUUGGCACAAUAGAAAAGCGCAAAGGCAUUAAGAAGUUUGCCAAAUCGAUUGGCUCGAAAAUGCAUUUGAGCAGCAAGAAGAAGAACAAAGAUGGUGAUGAUGUAUCGAACUUCAGUGGCUCAUUCGCGAGCAUAGGCACUCCGAAUAGUUCGAAUGGUGGUAGUAAUCGUUAUGGGCAACGCGCUGGUGAGGCCGAUCCCGGUGUGAUUAGUGAGGAUGAAGAUGAGUUCGUUUUUGACAAUUUGUCACACAAAAGCUCGGCGAGUUCGUUGAACAUACGUUCGAACCUACAGCCGCCUACACAAAAUUUUACGCCGCGUAAUCCUUCACCACUGCUGGGCAAAGUCGGAGGUAAGCCAUUGUCUAGAAGAGAUUUGGUGGAGGAGGAUCUCGCUGUAGAUCCCGAGUUAGAAGAGUUAGAAAACGACUUCAGCGUCCGUGCACGAACACUGCCGCCGCCCUCGAAACCACCUCGCACACAACAACAACUCAACGAUGUGAUAGCUGCGUCACCGAAGCAAAAGGAACCGGCUCUGGACGAAUGGGAGUCGAAGCUAUACAAACAACAUUUGCAGAUUGGAAGUUCAGAUUCGUUAAAACGACGCUCCUGGGAGCAAUCGCGCGUGCCGCUACCAACACCCAAUGAAGAGGCAGAAAAGGAAUUGCAAAUAAAAGUGGAAGAGAAAAACGUGGCCGAAAAUAAGCAAGAAAAUGGUAUUCAGAAACAGGAAAAUGGUUUCGCUGAUAGAAAUAUUUCGCAAAGAAACAGCGAGAGCGACUCUUCUUUAUCAUCUUCAGACUCAGACGAGGAGAAAAGUAUGCCUGAAUUAAACAAAACUGAAGUCAAAGGCGUUACUAACAAGCCACAAGAACUUAUUCUCACCCCUAAGCCCGUAGCAGCAACUCAAAAUAUAAGUCUCCUCUCGCCUGAUGAUGAAACAAAAGAUUUCAAAGAGUUUAACGCUUCGUUUUCAAAAUUCGAACAGCGCAAUAAGUCGCAUUUAUUUGAUUUGGAUAUGGAUAAAAAAUGGCAUACACAAUCUUUUAUACAGGAAGAGUCCAGAGCGCCUGCUGUGCCAAAGGCUAUGCCACGCAAUCGUGAACGGGAAGUAGAACUCAAACGCGCUGAAGAAGAGCAAGAAGCCGAGCGCGAACGUCAAGCGGAGGCUGAAGCUAAUGCUGCAGCAGCAAAAGCAGCAGCUGAUGCCGAAGCCAAGGUCGCAGCUGUUGCUGCUGCAGAGGCUGCGCGUAAGCGCCAAGCUGAACUAGAGGCGGCUUCUAUUGCUGCAGAGAUUGAACGAAACCGACGCGAAGCUGUUGAAAAAGAAGAACAAAGACGUGCUGCCGAAGCUGCACACCUCGAAGAAGAACUACGCAGAAAUGAGCAAAAGUUACGAGAAGAAGAGGAAGCAUUGCAGGAAGAAUUGCGCCAGCGUGAAGAGGAGAAACGGCGAGAAGCGAAAAGACGUGAAGAAGAUCAACGCAUUUUGAACUUUGCCAAACGCUCUACAUCGCUGGAGGAAGAAAAAACCCCCUACGGCACGCCCGAACAAUCGCCCAGCGAGACCUCGUCUGAGAAACGUGAACGGCGUAUGGGCAAAUACAAGUAUCUCAAUAAGCGAGAGAAAAGUGAAGAUAAUCGGUCCACACCAAGUCCCAAAGCCACUGAACGCAUUAUAAUUGGUCAUGAAAAAUCCACAUCACACGCAGAACGACGCUCGGAAAUAUCAGCAGCGCUAGCCAAGAAAUAUGAUGGCAAAUCGCGAGAGGAACUUAUGCUAAUAGCAAAUGGUAUGGAAAACGAAGCGUUACUGCAACGUCAACGUGUUAAGGAGCUGGAGGACUAUCUGGAUAAUUUGCUGCUGCGUGUAAUGGAAACGCAUCCAAAACUUUUGCAGAAUCCCUACUCAAGAACCACAUCGGCGAAGAGUUUUAAAAACUACAUCAAUAUGAAUGACUUUUUGUAAAGAAACAGUUGCGCAGCGCGAUGAAUUUCCAACCGAUUGGCGGUUCGCAUGUCGUAGCCAGGACAACGGCUAAAUGUUUGUGAAAAACAUUUUAUUUAUUAGUAAAUUUCGUGCGCUGAAUGAAAGCAAUACGGUGGCGGAAAUUUAAACCGCCUUCCAACCAACCAACAACAACACAAACAUCCACAAAAUCAAAUAUGAUAAUAGUAGAUAAAACGAAGGGAAAUCACCAAGUUGCCUUAUAGUGAAAAAUCCAAAGUGCUUUUUUACGAUGAUAAUAACUAAUUCUAAAACAAUUAUGAGUGUAUGUAGAAAAAAUAUGAUAUGAGUACGAGUUUAUUAUAAUUUUUUAAUCAAUGUAUGUUUUUUUUUUGGUUAGAAAUGAUUUUGUUUCUACUAAUACAGUUAAAUUAUUGAAUGUAACAUAUUUUUUAAAAUGGAUUAACAAACGUAAGAAAUAAUUGUAAAAUAUGAUUGUUGUGAAAACGUAUUUAAUACAGCGAUUUGCAAAGAAAAAACAUAAUACGCACCUUCACGGUUAAUGAUUCUGAAUUCUACAUCGAUGGUGGAAACUUAAAUUAAGUUAAUUUAUUAGUAAAAAAUUAAAAGUAAGUUUUAAGCGAAAAAUAUGUUAUGAAAAUCAACCGAUUGUCGCCAAACGCCUUUAUGUGAAUGUAUAUGUAAGACUUUCUAUGACGGCGGCACCCGCUGUAAAUAUGCAAACAAGUAACUAAUCUUAACUAUUUACAACGUUUAACUACAAUAUUUACGUAAAAUAGAACUAAAAAGUAAUCACGUUUAUUCAAAACAAACUGUAAAAUUUUGAACCAUUGCAUUUUUUUACAAAAAUUGACCAAACAAACAAAUCGCGUUACAAAAUUGCCCAUUAAUUGAGUAGCUUGGUGAGACCAGAUAUGUAUUUUCAAUGACUAUUGCUAGGAAUUAAGGUGUUUGUUGUCGCAUUUAUGAUUUGGUUGAAUUAUGAUUUUAUUUUUUAUAUUUUUUUAAUUGUAGUCCGUAGGUUUGGACAAUUGUGUUUUGCGAGUAAAACAUUACCACCAUCCUUGAAUAUGUUUAUCUCCGAGCUUUAUAUAUCUGUAUGAGCUGAAUUUAAAUGAUAUUGUACUUUAAGCUUGAUUAAAAAUAUCAUUAAAUAAAUAUUAUUAAACUAUUUGUACUAUAAAA
RNA transcript from Anastrepha obliqua, 4112 nucleotides. It is a transcript of the gene named rab11 family-interacting protein 1, with no coding region annotated. The transcript has 7 exons. Lineage: Eukaryota; Metazoa; Arthropoda; Insecta; Diptera; Tephritidae. The record is from RefSeq and is a predicted model, not a curated record.